AAUGCUUAGGAAUCUGCCUAUUAGUGGGGGACAACAUUCCGAAAGGAAUGCUAAUACCGCAUACGCCCUACGGGGGAAAGCAGGGGAUCUUCGGACCUUGCGCUGAUAGAUGAGCCUAAGUCAGAUUAGCUAGUUGGUGGGGUAAAGGCCUACCAAGGCGACGAUCUGUAGCGGGUCUGAGAGGAUGAUCCGCCACACUGGGACUGAGACACGGCCCAGACUCCUACGGGAGGCAGCAGUGGGGAAUAUUGGACAAUGGGCGAAAGCCUGAUCCAGCCAUGCCGCGUGUGUGAAGAAGGCCUUUUGGUUGUAAAGCACUUUAAGCGAGGAGGAGGCUACUUGGAUUAAUACUCUAGGAUAGUGGACGUUACUCGCAGAAUAAGCACCGGCUAACUCUGUGCCAGCAGCCGCGGUAAUACAGAGGGUGCGAGCGUUAAUCGGAUUUACUGGGCGUAAAGCGUGCGUAGGCGGCUUUUUAAGUCGGAUGUGAAAUCCCUGAGCUUAACUUAGGAAUUGCAUUCGAUACUGGGAAGCUAGAGUAUGGGAGAGGAUGGUAGAAUUCCAGGUGUAGCGGUGAAAUGCGUAGAGAUCUGGAGG
This 597-nucleotide ribosomal RNA is filed under the name uncultured bacterium. Its description in RNAcentral is "bacterial SSU rRNA". It matches the Rfam family "Bacterial small subunit ribosomal RNA", at positions 112 to 704 of the family's 1533-position model. The record is from RNAcentral.